RNAcentral lists this non-coding RNA (221 nucleotides) under Wenzhouxiangella marina. The record is from RNAcentral. Lineage: Bacteria; Pseudomonadati; Pseudomonadota; Gammaproteobacteria; Chromatiales; Wenzhouxiangellaceae.
AUAUAUGCGACCCACGACGGCCGCCAGACACAACAUCUGGUGGUUGGGGCAGGGAAUCCGGUGCGAAGCGGUUGCUUCAAUUCCGGAGCUGUACCCGCAACUGUCAGCGGCGAGCGAGACGGCAAGCAGCAGGGCCACGGGGCGAUCGGAUCGCUCGGGAAGGCCGCCGGGUCGCGCGAUCAGCCGCAAGCCAGGACACCUGCCGUGGGCAAAUUCCGAGA